UAUCAUUCACAUACCUAUAUUCUAAUAUACACUUUUUUGUUCUCUCAUUCAUCAGUACACCCACACCACUUUUCACUCACUCAUUAUCUUUUACUCCAGAUUAAUAUUCCUACAAUGUCAUUCCUUACACACUCAAAUGCACACCCCUUUUCAUAUGUUUCACUUACACAGAAGGCAUCCAGCUUAUAUUUGCAGAGUUUUUGUUCAUUCUCUUUCACUUAUCUAUUCACAUUCCACAUCCCCAAUCCCCAUUUCCAUUUUCAUUAUCCUUUAUCCAGUCCAAUUUUAAAUCCAUUUUUGAUGGUCUGGUUUUAUUUCCUUUGACCUUUAUAAAUCAUAAGAAAAAUUUCAUUAUGUUCAUAAUCAGCCAAACAAUGGUGACCCCAUUGAGGGUUCCAGACAUCUUUGAGCACCAUUUUGACAAGUUUCUUAUUUCUAGUCACUUUCUUUAGACAUAAGGCCAUUCAUAAAUACAUGUGAGAGAGUUGUAUGAGAGAUCAGAGGAAUAUGGUUGACUUGAUUAUAUGUGAUGAAAUAUUGAGGGGAAAGAUUAUGGACAUGAGUGAUUAGGAGUGUAAAGAUAGGUUCAGAUCACUAUCUGGUGAUCUUUAGGAUGAUUCUACUGAGGAGAUGAAGAAAUGUAAGAAAACUGAGGACAAAAGAAUGCAAAUGAAAAUAGCGGAUCUGAAGCAAUAGGUAUACGAGAAAAUAUGUGAAAAGCUAGUUUGAGUGAAUGAGAAUAUAUCCAAUGUGGAGGAUGUGUGGACACAUUUUAAGGAAUGUGUAAUGAGUAUUGCCAGAUC
Molecule: long non-coding RNA, 803 nt
Filed under: Androctonus crassicauda
Lineage: Eukaryota; Metazoa; Arthropoda; Arachnida; Scorpiones; Buthidae
Source: RNAcentral